GGUUCGAUUAUGGCUCAGAUUGAACGCUGGCAGGAUGUGCUACACAUGCAAGUCGAACGGCAGCACGGACUUCGGUCUGGUGGCGAGUGGCGAACGGGUGAGUAAUGUAUCGGAACGUGCCUAGUAGCGGGGGAUAACUACGCGAAAGCGUAGCUAAUACCCGCAUACGCCCUUCAGGGAAAAGCGGGGGACCUUCGGGCCUCGCACUAUUAAACGGCCGAUAUCGGAUUGGCUAGUUGGUGGGGUAACGGCUCACCAAGGCGACGACCCGUAGCUGGUUUGAGAGGACGACCAGCCACACUGGGACUGAGACACGGCCCAGACUCCUACGGGAGGCAGCAGUGGGGAAUUUUGGACAAUGGGGGAAACCCUGAUCAGCCAUCCCGCGUGUGCGAUGAAGGCCUUCGGGUUGUAAAGCACUUUUGGCAGGAAAGAAACGGCACGGGAUAAUACCCCGUGCAACUGACGGCUUACCUGCAGAAUAAGCACCGGCUAACUACGUGCCAGCAGCCGCGGUAAUACGUAGGUGCAAGCGUUAAUCAGAUUACUGGGCGUAAAAGCGUGCGCAGGCGGUUCGGAAAGAAAGAUGUGGAUCCCCAGAGCUUAACUUUGGAACUGCAUUUUUAACUACCGAGCUAGAGUGUGUCAGAGGGUGGAAUUCCGCGUGUAGCAGUGAAAUGCGUAGAUAUGCGGAGGAACACCGAUAGCGAAGGCAGCCUCCUGGGAUAACACACUGACGCUCAUGCACGAAAGCGUGAAGGGCAAACAGGAUUAGAUACCCUGGUAGUCCACGCCCUAAACGAUGUCAACUAGCUGUUGGGGCCUUCCGGGCCUUGGUAGCGCAGCUAACGUGAAGUUGACCGCCUGGAAGUACGGUCGCAAGAUUAAAACUCAAAGGAAUUGACGGGGACCCGCACAAGCGGUGGAUGAUGUGGAUUAAUUCGAUGCAGCACUUGAAAA
This 960-nucleotide unclassified non-coding RNA is filed under the name uncultured Bordetella sp. RNAcentral's name for it is "partial 16S-23S ribosomal RNA intergenic spacer". It matches the Rfam family "Bacterial small subunit ribosomal RNA", at positions 10 to 967 of the family's 1533-position model. Lineage: Bacteria; Pseudomonadati; Pseudomonadota; Betaproteobacteria; Burkholderiales; Alcaligenaceae. The record is from RNAcentral.